RNAcentral lists this non-coding RNA (24 nucleotides) under Arabidopsis thaliana (thale cress). The record is from RNAcentral. Lineage: Eukaryota; Viridiplantae; Streptophyta; Magnoliopsida; Brassicales; Brassicaceae.
GUCAGAAAGUCCUUCAGCCGGUUC